GGUUACACUGAAAGUGAUUGGAUUGUCUUCUUCUCCCUCUCUUCUGAACUCGGUGCGGCGGCGGCUUCGCAUCUCAGGCAACAUCACGACGCCGGAGAAAGCUUAUUCUCCGAGCGGAACCUCGCCCUCUCUGUCUCUUCUCCGUCUUAAUUCCUCUUCUCACUUCUUCGAUCUCUCUUCGACUCAAGUUCUCUUUAUCUCCAUUUGCUUGCAGACUCAAAGUUGUUGAAGAGUGAUGAUGAUGUUGCUUAUUGCAGGUGAAGAUUAUUGAUGCGUCAAUUUCGGUUUCGUGAAUGUGUGAGACGAUGAGGAUGUUGCGUGCCUGAGUUUGCAAGUUUGUUGAAGCGAUGAAGAUGAUGAUGAACGUUGUGAUGAUUGUGGAUUGAAGAAGGUGCUGAUGAUUGAAGAUCGAUAAGGCGUUGUUGCUGGAUGUUGCAGAAAUGGAGGAUGUGCGAUUGGUGCUGAAUCGAUGAAGGUUUUGUCGAAGAUUGAAGGAAAUAUCAAUGGAGAUUUUGAUUCGAGUUGUGAAGAUGGAGAUUAUGGAGUAUUCUCUAGUUCAAGGUUGAUGAGCAGAGAAAAAUGAAGAUGAUGAAGGAUUUUUGUGGAAGUUGAAGAUAGCGUUUGGUGAUGAAAGAUCGAAGAAGCGGUUAUGGUGAUGAAGGUUCAGAGUCUUGAAUUUUUCUGUUAUUGAAUUUGGUUUUAGAAUUUUUUUGAAGAUUGGAGAAAGGUUGAAGAGUUUGAAGAGAGAGUUCUUGAAGUUUUUUGAAGCCUCAAUGGAGGAGGUUGAAUCGAUGAUGAGGAGGUUUUCUCAGUUGAAUCCAUGGAGAGAGUGAAGGUUGUCCGCAAAAGUUUGUUACCGUUUCUUUUUGGUUUCUUUUGGUAUGAAGUCGCGGUUCCAUUUACCUUGAAUGCAUAUGCGAAUGUUAGUUGAAAUUUGAAGAUGGAAGCAGGACAUUUGGGAGCUUGAAUCCUCACGGUAGGAAAAAGUUAUGAACAAGACUCAAAGAAUGAUAUGGAAGCAUCAAGAUCUUUGAUAAGUUUAUGAUGAUUUUUUUUAUUGUCAUUUUUGUAAUGAUGUAUGGGCUUUUGAAUGUAACUUGAACAUUUGAAUCUUUUGUA
Vicia villosa (hairy vetch) is the source of this 1119-nucleotide long non-coding RNA. RefSeq lists it as uncharacterized. The transcript has 4 exons. The record is from RefSeq and is a predicted model, not a curated record. NCBI's taxonomy places the organism in Eukaryota, Viridiplantae, Streptophyta, Magnoliopsida, Fabales, Fabaceae.